RNAcentral lists this ribosomal RNA (253 nucleotides) under uncultured bacterium. RNAcentral describes it as "partial 16S ribosomal RNA". It matches the Rfam family "Bacterial small subunit ribosomal RNA", at positions 524 to 776 of the family's 1533-position model. The record is from RNAcentral.
GACAGAGGUCCCGAGCGUUAGGCGGAAUCACUGGGCUUAAAGCGUGUGUAGGCGGAUCGUUAAGUACCUUGUGAAAUCCCACGGCUUAACCGUGGAACGGCUUGGUAUACUGGCGGUCUUGAGCCACUUAGGGGCUACCGGAACAAAUGGUGGAGCGGUGAAAUGCGUAGAUAUCAUUAGGAACUCCGGUGGCGAAGGCGGCUCGCUGGAUCUUUUCUGACGCUGAGGCGCGAAAGCUAGGGGAGCAAACGGG